AACAAGUCAAAUCACACAUCCACUAGACAAUCAAACACAUAAGAUCCACAAGGUACAUGAACAACAAAGGGAAAUAAGAUACAUGGUAGAGUUCAUCCCAAAUCCUAUGAAGGAGAUGAGGGCUUGAUGAUCUAGAUAGAUCCUUCCCUCAAGGGGGUCUUCAUCCACUAGGGAUCUUCUCCAAUGGAGGCCUUGAACUCCAAUGGAGUGGAAUCCCACAAGGGGAGGUACAUGAGCUAAGCUCUAGUGUUUAGAUCUAAUCUUAGCUUAGUCUAAAUGGAGGAGAUGAAGGAGUAUAUAUAGUCCUAGGCAAAGAGAGGGAUAAGUGGGGGUAAAAUGGUAAAACAAGGGCAAAGCCCGCAGCAUCACACAAGGGGCCCUGUGUGCACGAGGUAAGUGGAGCCCGUGUGCACGGGGUAUCUAGGGACCGGACGCAAGGGCCCAUGCGCACGGGGUCCGUGAGGCCCAUGGACACGGCAGUCCCGUGGACACGGUACACGCCCGUGCGCACGGGGUCUUCAGGACCGCCUGCCUGGGAGGCCCGUGGGCACGGGGUCGGAGGGGCCCGUGCGCCACGGGGUCGCCUGGGAGCUGCUGCCUUCUUCUUGGUGCUUCCUUCUCCGCUUCCAGGCUUCCCUCUUGGAUGGUGUAGAUGUUCUCAUGCGCUUGGACUCCUCCAUGAUGAAUGUGUAGCUCCGCUCACACGUAAGUAUGCACACGAGAGAAGGGUCAAGUAGUAUAGCAUCCUCGAAGGGUACAAGUGAACACGUGUAAAGGAGAUGAUUCACCUUUGUAUGCAUGAAGUAGAUGUGGCACGUGUCACUUGCCAAAUGGACUCUUGACAUGGUGAUGUCCAUAGGAUGCUCCGCAUCAUCCCCUCCCCCUUGAGAAAGAUCCGACCUCGGAUCGAAAUCCAAAUCACCAUGGGAAAGAGAUGAUGGCGUCGUGUAGAAUUGGACGAUCACCAAGCAUUCGUCAUCUUGUAGUUCCAAAUGGGCACUCUCCAAUGUCGCACCGUCUUGUAAUUCCUUCAAAAGGAGCAAAGAUAACAAGCACUUGGAAAAACAAAUGUGGUUGUCGUAAGAGCAAAACCAAGCAUUCAAGAGGUGAUUCACCCAACAAGUGUUGUCAUCAAGCAUAGGAUAUGGUUUGACAAAGAAGUGUGGCAUGGCAUUUGAGCAUAUAAAUUGAGCACAAUCAAGUACAUCAUGGGAACAAGCAUGCAAAUGGUAGGUAGAGAUGCAAAUAUGUUUGAGAGGUGAACAAGCAUCUACCUCAAUGUCAUAGCAAGAAUGUGCAAAGUGCUCAACAAAAGGUCUAUGGUAGGCAUAAGUAUCAUACACAACACCAAAUAUAAUGAUAUGUCUAAACACAUGGGGCAAGUGCAAGACAAUCCAAGCAUAAUGUGCAUAGGGUGUAGUGAAGAUAUCAUGGCACUCAACACAAUGGAAAGAGCAAGUGUUCAACAUGUGUGAGGCAAUCAAGUCAAGCAUGUGAUAAGCAAAGGGACAUGGCAUAUGUGAAGAAAUGAUAUUGGUGCAACCAACCAUGUGAUAGAAGCAAGUAAUCCAAAAAUUGGAUGCAACACACAAGUCAUAUAUAUCAUGAGGCAUAGCAAUGUGGAAAUCACAAAUGAGAGCACUAUAUCUAACAUGUGUGCAAUCAAGUAGUCCAAGAUGACCAAUAAGUCUCAUGGUAGAAGCAACACAAGUAGUAUGAUCCAUAAUAUGCAUGCUCAUAGUUUGGAUGUUCUCAAAAUAGAAGGAUAUCACCUCGAAAGCAUGCCCUUGUGCGUUCUUCACAAUGCCGAAGUGGUAGGAAAUGUGGUGUAGAAGUGAGUCAUGGUCGAAUGUAUGAGGCUCGCUCUCAAGAGCUCGAAUGGUCAACUCACAUGAAGUGGAAGUCGACACGAAGUCGAAGUAUCCUACACAUGCACACAACAAAACAAAGAGCGUAUGCGCAUGGUGGAUAAACACAUCAUCCAUCAUGAUGGUUCUCUUCUCUUGCACAUAACCAUUAGAAGCACAAGUGCAUGAAUAAUAUGAUGCAACAAUGGCUAUAUUCAUGGCACUAGGUAUUUGGUGCAAAGAGGUAAGACAAGAAUUCUUCACAAGGAAUAUGUCAAAAUCUCCAAAUAUAUGUGAGAGUGCUAUGGGGGCAAUCUUAUGAGCAAGACUAUAAGCAUUGUUGCACUCAAUACAUGGCAAGUCAUCUAGCAUGAUAGAUGCAACAUAUGGAGAUAUGUGACAAGAAGCACUAACAAUCAUGUGCAAAGCAUGUAGAUGGUUGUCAUCAACUGCAUGAAAUGAGCAAGUAUGAGUCAUUGGUGAUGCAACAUAAGCAAGCCUAUCAAUCAAGUCAUGCAAACUAGUGGAGCGAAGAUGCAACACACUAGAGUAAAUCAUGGCAAUCAUGUCAUGUGAGCGAAUAGUGGAUAUAGGCAAUGGACAUGACAUAUCACAAGCACGAACACAAAGCAAGAUCAUAGUAUCAUCAUAGGAAUGGGUCAUAGAUGGAACAUGGCAAUAACAAGUAAUAUCUCCACCAAGCUUGCAAAUACACAUACAAGUACUAGAAUCAAUCAUCAUGUGUAAUGCGAAGCAUGGGUCACAAAUGCAUGACAAAGGCAUAGGAAUGAGCAUAUCAUGCAAAGUGAACAUGGCAAUAUGGGCAUAAAGGAAGAAGUGAUAUAUAACCCAUAACCAUGUGAGGGCCAUGUAGAAGAGAUGCGAAAAGUCUUUGCACGAAGGGAGCUGUGGGAAAGACAAUCCAUGUGAUCCCAAGUCAUCAUUGCUCUCUAGAGUUCGUUUUUCAACUCAGGGGAUUGUGAGGUUGACAAGUAUUCAUGGGUACCUACACAAAAGAGACACAAACGAAAGAAAUUGUGCGUGUGGUAAAUGUACACAUCAUCCAUCAUGAUGUGUAUGUGCACGUGUGAGUUAGCACAAGAUAAGCAAUGCUCAAAGAAAUUUGAGGCAUGGUAUAUGAACAUGUCAUCCAUCAAGCAAUGGUAGUUAUUAUGUUCAACAUGAUUAGGAUGCAAUUUAUAGCAAGUGUGAGGCACAACAAUAGCAUUUUUAUUCAUGGGGAGCAUAUGGUGCACACAAUCAUGGGAAUCAUGUAAAUCAUAGGAUGGAUCAAAAUCUCCUAAUGGGUAUGAGGAAACUAUGGGGGUCUCCUCAUGAGCAAUAGCGGAAGCAUAAGAUGGAGAAAAUGGACAACAUCCAAAACAAUGCAUAUCCGAAGCUAGGUGGUCAUGGCAUGGCAUAUUAGCUAAAUGAUGCAAAGGGAGCAUAUCAAUAUCAUCACAAGAAAAACAAAUGCCAAUAACCAUGGGCUUGUCAUCUAUGCCAUAUGUGAAAAUUGGGUUUAUUUUAAUGGCAUAUGCAUAGUCACUACAAUGAGAUUGCAAAUAUGACAUACAGGAGAUCUCAUGCAUAGCAUAUGACAAGUCAAGCGGAUCAUCAAACAUGAUGUGACCAACAGAAUUAUCACACGAAAUCCUAUGUAACAUGGAAUCACAACUACUAGACUCCUCAUGGUAAUCAUCAAACUCAUCAUAAAUGGGCAAAUCAUCGCAUGGGGAAAUCAUACUAGAAUGAACCAUGGUAAUAGGUGGAUCAACAUCAUGCAAGCAAUCAAUGUCAAGAAUGUCCACUAGUGGGACAAGAGCAUCACCUUCACCUAUGUCACCUUUGUUGUUCCACUCAAGUGGUGUAGGUGAGGUGGGGAAGACCAAAUCGUGUUCAUGCUCAUCGUGAUGGAACCAUGUGGGGGGUGCAUCACAGUCCACCAUGGCCAUCAUCAUGUCCAAAGGGAGGACAAAGUCAUCGAGGAUCGGCGCAUCAUCAUAUAUGGGACCUAGCACCAAAUGAGAAGACACAAUAGAGGUAGAGGUUAAGUUGUUAGAAACCGAAAUGGCCUCAUAUGCCUCAUCAACUAUCUCACUCUCUCUAUGUGGCGGUGGCUCACUCACUCCCUCAAGAUAGGUGCACUCAAUGUCGCAUAUGGUGGAGUCACUCAAAUCACUCAAGUGGUGGUGGUGGUGGCUCUCCUCACAUGGGAAUUGGGGCAACUCGUCAUAUAUGGGGCUAGUGGUGAAGUCACUCUCAAUCUCAAUAUGGUGGCAAAAGUCACUCAAGUCAUCAUACGUCGCCGUGGUCGAAGGGAGAAUCCCAUGCUCAACCAUCCCGUAGUCGUCGCCGUGGAUGAAGGCCGAAGAUGGCACAUCAUCACUCUCGUCAUGGAUGAAGGCCGAAGAUGGCACGUCAUCACUCUCAUCAUGAAUGAAGGCCGAAGAUGGCACAUCAUUACUCUCGCCGUCUUGUAGCGUGGUCGUUGUGAAGUGAGCUCGGGGUCGAGUAGACUUGGCCUUAUUGAGUUCUUGCUCCGCCUUGAGAGCACCAAAGUAGUUGUCGUCAAGGGACUUGUAGUUCUCGAGAAAGAUACUCUUGGAGAUGUCGUUGUUCAAUCCCAUCAUGAAGUAGAACUUCAUCCAAAUGGGGUCGUCCACGCCGGCAUGUCGCAAGGCUUCCUUCAUGUUCUUGAAGUACUCGUUGAGAGACUUGGAUCCUUGUAUGGUGUUCUCCAAUUGGCGUUGAAGAUGUUCCGUGUAGGUUGGAGGCACAAACUCUCGCCGCAUCACUUUCUUCGUCUUGGACCAACUCAUCUCAUAGCUCUCCAAAGGUGUGUGAAGCCACCAUGUUGAGGCGUAGUCGUGGAAGUUUCUUGUGGCGCACUUCACUUGAUCUACGGAAGGGACUUGAUGUAGCUUGAGGUAGUCGUCCAUCAAACGCUCCCACUCGAGGUACUCCUCGGGUUCUUGAGUCCCAUAGAAAGGAAUCGCAUGGUCGAUGUCGAGGUCGUAGUAGCUCGUGGAAGUCACGGACUUGAGCUUGGGGAGCUUCUCUCGAGCGUAGUCUUGGGGUGCUUGUUGGUGAAGAUGUCGUACGUCCGAAGGCGAAGAUACCUUGAAGUCACUUGGCGAAGAUGCCAAAGGUGCUGAAGAAGAUGCAGCCUUGUAGUUGACGUCGCAACUCUGUAUAGCCCGUGUGCACGGGGGUAUAGGAGGUCGUGUGCACGGGGUCCUGUGGGCACGGGGGUCAAGGGCCCGUGUGCACGGGGUUGGCAGAGCAGCCAACACGUGUCCUGAAGCUCGCUCUUCAUGGUCAUGUCGAUGUCGAUGCUUGUGUGUACUUGCCGGAGGUGGUAGCUCGGGAGUCUUUGCACUUGAGCAUCUUCUCGAAGAUGAAGAAGAUCGCUUGCGGUUCUUGAUGAGGGCCUUGAGCUCCUCCAUGCGCUUGUCCAUCUUGGCGUCGAUGAAGUUCUUCAUAGCAUCGAGCUCGUCGUCGUUGUUGUAGACCGGAGAUGAUGGGCUUUGCCUAUCCAUCACAAGACUCGAGCAAAGGUGAGUAGGAAAUGAGAUAAACAAUACCAAGCUACCUUUUCCCAAAGUUGAGGAUGUAUCUUGUAUCACUCAAUGUGAAAUGAAAGAAUAGUGGAAUUGGUACCGGACUUGUUCACUCACACCUACAAAGUAAAGCUUAUCGAGUGGCUUGGUUAGGACAAGUGGCACAAAUUUCAUGCAAAUUGAAGUCCAAGAUAUUGUAAAUGUUGAAAUAAAUCCAAAGGACUCAAAAUGCAAAGCAAGUGAUCACAAAUAUAUAGGAGGGCAAUAAAGAAACACACACGGUGGGAUAAUGGGGCUUGUGCAACUAUAGGGAUGAGCAAUACAAAAUUGCCUAACGAAGACUAAGCUCGUGUUGCACAAACACUAGGAGAGCACUAGCUUGAUUGCACACUUGGGCACGAUUCACUACUUGGCACCAACCUAUAUGUAUGCAACAAGAAUGUUUCCUAUUCCAUGUAUCCUCAUGCACAAGUAUCUCUUUUCAUGCUCAACUCUUUGCUUAUAAGCUUAUGUUCAUUCUCUUUCUUGCUUAAAAGCUUUUUUUGCUCUUCUCUUCCUUUCCACUAUGAUUGAUGAGCCUCAACCACAAAUAUGCGACAAGUAUCACAAGAUAAGCAUGGGAGUAAACAAUGGCACUAUAUGAUAUAUCCAAUGAUGCAACAAUAUGAGAUCAUAUCACUAUGGUGCACAAGUUUUUGCGAAGCCCGGCAAUACUCGGAUAGCUAGUCUCAAUGGGUAUGAAGGUAUUCGCAAAGAUGGCGGGGCUAUCAAGAUGUAAUGGCAAGGAAGGAGAAGUUUAUGAUGGAAUGGAUACCUUCAUCACAUUUAACCUUUCACGAAGUCGGGGUAACCGGCUUGCUUCCGGUUGAAGAUGGUCUCAAAGGAUGGAUGGUCGUCGUCGAUGUGGAAGCUCGUGCUGGAUGUAGUCGAUGGAAUGAUACAAGUCACUGGUGGUGGAUGAAGAUGCAACCAUCCCUAAGUAGCCGAAACACCUUAGGAGACUCAAAUCACAACUCAAACAACACAAAUACCAAAGGAACCAAAAUGGGUUAGUUUGCAGAAGUUUUAUGUGGUGGUGCGAAAGUUAUGGCGGAGGGCCGAUGCAAAAGAUGCAAAAUGGACAAAAUUUGAUGGAGUCAAAUGGUGGUAAAAGCAAGAUGAGCAGCUCGGGCACGUCGCUAGCUUUCCAACGAGCCAAAGAACACCCAAAUCGGAGUUCGGGAGUGGAAGUUACGGCCAAAACGGUGAAGUCAUGGCGGCUGCUGUAGGGGGGCCGUGCGCAUGGGGUCCAGGGCCCAUGGACAUGGGGUCCCGUGCGCACGGUACAUGUACCGAGGACACGGGGUCACCAGAGACUUCGUGGGGGCCCGUGAGCACGGGUGGGGAGCCCGUGGGCACGGGGUAGGCGGAAAUUUCGUGAUUUUCUUGUCAAAUUCGAAGGGGAAAGAAAAAUUGGGGUAUGGGGACGCAAGAGGGGGUAGAUCUACUUGCUAUACAUCAGAUCCAUGGAUCAAAAUAAACAAAAACUCACAAAAACUUCAAAUCACAAAAAAAUUUGGUAUGGCCCUUUUUGUGGGGAUUUUCGAAAUUGGGCAAGAACAAGCAAAAUUAGGCUAGAAAACAAACAUGGGGCUCCAAUUUCAUGAGAAACCAUGGCUCAUGAUACCAAUAUGAUGUAGGAUGGAACCCUAGGUGAAGAUCUUUCACGAAUUGGAGGGGAAAUCCCCAAGAACAAGAUGAACAAAAGAGGGAAAACAAGAGGAACACUCAAGAACAAGUCAAAUCACACAUCCACUAGACAAUCAAACACAUAAGAUCCACAAGGUACAUGAACAACAAAGGGAAAUAAGAUACAUGCUAGAGUUCACCCCAAAUCCUAUGAAGGAGAUGAGGGCUUGAUGAUCUAGAUAGAUCCUUCCCUCAAGGGGUCUUCAUCCACUAGGGAUCUUCUCCAAUGGAGGCCUUGAACUCCAAUGGAGUGGAAUCCCACAAGGGGAGGUACAUGAGCUAAGCUCUAGUGUUUAGAUCUAAUCUUAGCUUAGUCUAAAUGGAGGAGAUGAAGGAGUAUAUAUAGUCCUAGGCAAAGAGAGGGAUAAGUGGGGGUAAAA
Molecule: long non-coding RNA, 7518 nt
Filed under: Triticum aestivum (bread wheat)
Lineage: Eukaryota; Viridiplantae; Streptophyta; Magnoliopsida; Poales; Poaceae
Description: long non-coding RNA (TAES_LNC011896)
Source: RNAcentral